CCUUUGUUGUCCGACUCUGUUGCCUCCGGGGCGACCCUGCCUCCGGGCGGGGGCCCCGGGUGGACACUUCAAACUCUUGCGUAACUUUGCAGUCUGAGUAAAUUUAAUUAAUAAAUUAAAACUUUCAACAACGGAUCUCUUGGUUCUGGCAUCGAUGAAGAACGCAGCGAAAUGCGAUAAGUAAUGUGAAUUGCAGAAUUCAGUGAAUCAUCGAAUCUUUGAACGCACAUUGCGCCCCCUGGUAUUCCGGGGGGCAUGCCUGUUCGAGCGUCAUUUCACCACUCAAGCCUCGCUUGGUAUUGGGCGACGCGGUCCGCCGCGCGCCUCAAAUCGACCGGCUGGGUCUUCCGUCCCCUCAGCGUUGUGGAAACUAUUCGCUAAAGGGUGCCGCGGGAGGUCACGCCGCAAAACAACCCCAUUUCUAAGGUUGACCUCGGAUCAGGUAGGGAUACCCGCUGAACUUAAGCAUAUCAAUAA
RNAcentral lists this ribosomal RNA (477 nucleotides) under Cladosporium sphaerospermum. RNAcentral describes it as "eukaryotic LSU rRNA". The stretch from base 120 to 273 matches the Rfam family "5.8S ribosomal RNA". Lineage: Eukaryota; Fungi; Ascomycota; Dothideomycetes; Cladosporiales; Cladosporiaceae. The record is from RNAcentral.